CGGCCCGGCCCGGCCCGGGCUCCCACGAUGGAUCCAGACUCGGGCUCCCCUGAGACAAGUCUGCCCCUAGACCCGGGCUGAGGGCAUUGGGCACGGAUUAAAGUUCCGGGAACUUGGCAGUUGGCAGCUUCCACAGCGCUGGUCAAACAAACCAGAACUCUGACAGAAGAUACUUUUAUGGCUGAGACCGGCUCUCAAGUUAGAAAUAGAAAAGCUAACUGGAAAGGUCAGCAAAACCAUAUAACCUGUGGCCGUGGACACUCAAGACUUCGAGUCUAAUUCAGUGCCCCCAAAUCAAAAUUACCCACGACUUUCAGAGAUGUCGAGGACAAUGAAGACCGUU
Molecule: long non-coding RNA, 343 nt
Organism: Mustela lutreola (European mink)
Lineage: Eukaryota; Metazoa; Chordata; Mammalia; Carnivora; Mustelidae
Exons: 3
Source: RefSeq, a predicted model, not a curated record